RNAcentral lists this ribosomal RNA (490 nucleotides) under uncultured bacterium. RNAcentral's name for it is "partial 16S ribosomal RNA". It matches the Rfam family "Bacterial small subunit ribosomal RNA", at positions 30 to 507 of the family's 1533-position model. The record is from RNAcentral.
AUUGAACGCUGGCGGCAGGCCUAACACAUGCAAGUCGAACGGUAACAGGAAGAAGCUUGCUUCUUUGCUGACGAGUGGCGGACGGGUGAGUAAUGUCUGGGAAACUGCCUGAUGGAGGGGGAUAACUACUGGAAACGGUAGCUAAUACCGCAUAACGUCGCAAGACCAAAGAGGGGGACCUUCGGGCCUCUUGCCAUCGGAUGUGCCCAGAUGGGAUUAGCUAGUAGGUGGGGUAACGGCUCACCUAGGCGACGAUCCCUAGCUGGUCUGAGAGGAUGACCAGCCACACUGGAACUGAGACACAGUCCAGACUCCUACGGGAGGCAGCAGUGGGGAAUAUUGCACAAUGGGCGCAAGCCUGAUGCAGCCAUGCCGCGUGUAUGAAGAAGGCCUUCGGGUUGUAAAGUACUUUCAGCGGGGAGGAAGGGAGUAAAGUUAAUACCUUUGCUCAUUGACGUUACCCGCAGAAGAAGCACCGGCUAACUCCGUG